UCAUAUGUACAUGCCUAUAACAUAGAAUUAAUGCAUCGGAUCCCAUUAGAACUCUGUAGUUAAGUGUGCUUGGGAUAGAGUAGUACUGGGAUGUGUGACCUCAUGGGAAGUCCUAGUGUUUUACAUGCC
Molecule: non-coding RNA, 129 nt
Organism: Picea glauca (white spruce)
Lineage: Eukaryota; Viridiplantae; Streptophyta; Pinopsida; Pinales; Pinaceae
Source: Rfam